UAGGGAAUCUUCCGCAAUGGACGCAAGUCUGACGGAGCAACGCCGCGUGAGUGAAGAAGGAUUUCGGUUCGUAAAACUCUGUUGUUAGAGAAGAACAGCGCAUAGAGUAACUGUUAUGCGUGUGACGGUAUCUAACCAGAAAGCCACGGCUAACUACGUGGCAGCAGCAGCGGUAAUACGUAGGUGGCAAGCGUUGUCCGGAUUUAUUGGGCGUAAAGCGAGCGCAGGCGGUCAAUUAAGUCUGAUGUGAAAGCCCCCGGCUCAACCGGGGAGGGUCAUUUGAAACUUGUUGACUUGAGUGCAGAAGAGGAGAGUGGAAAUCCCUGUGUAGCGGUGAAAUGCGUAGAUAUAUGGAGGAACACCAGUGGCGAAGGCGACUCUCUGGUCUGUAACUGACGCUGAGGCUCGAAAGCGUGGGUAGCAAACAGG
RNAcentral lists this ribosomal RNA (429 nucleotides) under Bacteroidota bacterium. RNAcentral describes it as "Bacteroidetes bacterium partial 16S ribosomal RNA". It matches the Rfam family "Bacterial small subunit ribosomal RNA", at positions 355 to 776 of the family's 1533-position model. The record is from RNAcentral. Lineage: Bacteria; Pseudomonadati; Bacteroidota.